CCCAGAGCUGUGUCUAAGUUGGAUAUGUAAACACACUGUGAGAAGACUGGAUGCUUACGGAAAGAUGGGAAAUUCUCACGUGAAACUGCACAGCUUGGUCUCACUGCUAUUUUAAAUUAAUUUCAACAGCUAGAAAGCAUGAGGAAAAGUGGUUAUUUUCAAAGGAGAAGGAGGUAUCUCUGUGAUUUGUUUUUUGGGUCCCAGACCAGCUUUCUUAGGUGACAGAUUUGCCACUGGAGAGCUAGCACCCUGAGAUAAAUUUUGUUCAAUGAAUAGCCAUAUUUAAACUUAGAGUAAGGCCCCUUUAGGCUUUAAAAGAAUCACUAGCAAGAGGGGCUGCCUAACAUUGGAAGGGCCCAGUCCUGAGUAAGAACUGUCUUGAGUGACAUGUUGCUCCUAACUCAGAGGCCUAGAGUAUGGGGGUGUGGGGGUGCCCCCUUUUUCUUGUAGGAGCCAGUUCUCUAGGGAAAUACCCAACGGUCAUUGCCAGUUAGCAUCCCAAUCCAAAAUGCUCCAAAAUCUGAAAUGUUUCAAAAUGCAUACUUUUUGAGCACUGAUGUAAGCCCCGAGUGGAAAUUUCUACACCCAACCUACUGUGACAACUUACAGUCAAUGCAGGCACACAGAAAACAAUUUAUUCAGUAUUCCUAAGGGGGGUGGGGAAAGAGGGCUGGGGUUGUGGCUCAGUGGUAGAGCACUUGCCUAGCAAUUGCAAGGCCCUGGGUUCGAUCCUCAACACCACUUAAAAAUAAAUAAAUAUUGUGUCCAACUACAACUAAAAAAUAAAUAUCAAAAAAAUAGACUAUCCUAGAUCUUCCAACUUUGUUACACAAACUGUUUCUCAUGC
This 847-nucleotide long non-coding RNA is filed under the name Marmota monax (woodchuck). The stretch from base 673 to 741 matches the Rfam family "tRNA". Lineage: Eukaryota; Metazoa; Chordata; Mammalia; Rodentia; Sciuridae. The record is from RNAcentral.